RNAcentral lists this ribosomal RNA (610 nucleotides) under fungal endophyte. RNAcentral describes it as "eukaryotic LSU rRNA". The stretch from base 179 to 332 matches the Rfam family "5.8S ribosomal RNA". The record is from RNAcentral. Lineage: Eukaryota; Fungi.
UAAAGAGUUCUAUAACUCCCAAACCCAUGUGAACAUACCUAACGUUGCCUCGGCAGGUCGCACCUACCUUGUAGCACCCUACCCUGUAGGGCCUACCCGGGAGGUGCGGGUAAGCCUGCCGGCGGCCCACCAAACUCUGUUUGAUAUUGAAUUCUGAACCUAUAACUAAAUAAGUUAAAACUUUCAACAACGGAUCUCUUGGUUCUGGCAUCGAUGAAGAACGCAGCGAAAUGCGAUAAGUAAUGUGAAUUGCAGAAUUCAGUGAAUCAUCGAAUCUUUGAACGCAUAUUGCGCCCAUUAGUAUUCUAGUGGGCAGGACCGUUCGAGCGUCAUUUCAACCCUUAAGCCUUCGUUGCUUAGUGUUGGGAGCCUACGGCAACGUAGCUCCUCAAAGUUAGUGGCGGAGUUGGUUCACACUCUAGACGUAGUAAUUUUUUAUCUCGCCUAUUAGUUGGACUAAUCCCCUGCCGUAAAACCCCCAAUUUAUCAAGGUUGACCUCGAAUCGGUUCAGACAAACUCGCUAAAUUGAAGCAUCUCAGUCAGCGAAGGAAAAGAAACCAACAGGGAUUGCCCUAGUAACGGCGAGUGAAGCGGCAACAGCUCAAAUUU